GACGAACGCUGGCGGCGUGCUUAACACAUGCAAGUCGAACGGAAAGGCCCUGCUUUUGUGGGGUGCUCGAGUGGCGAACGGGUGAGUAACACGUGAGUAACCUGCCCUUGACUUUGGGAUAACUUCAGGAAACGGGGGUAAAUACGGGAUGGGGGCUCCUGCUGCAGGGGGGGGGUUGGAAAGUUUCGGCGGUUGGGGAUGGACUCGCGGCUUAUCAGCUCGUUGGUGGGGUAGUGGCUUACCAAGGCUUUGACGGGUAGCCGGCCUGAGAGGGUGACCGGCCACAUUGGGACUGAGAUACGGCCCAGACUCCUACGGGAGGCAGCAGUGGGGAAUAUUGCACAAUGGGCGGAAGCCUGAUGCAGCAACGCCGCGUGCGGGAUGACGGCCUUCGGGUUGUAAACCGCUUUCGCCUGUGACGAAGCGUGAGUGACGGUAAUGGGUAAAGAAGCACCGGCUAACUACGUG
This 468-nucleotide ribosomal RNA is filed under the name uncultured bacterium. RNAcentral describes it as "partial 16S ribosomal RNA". It matches the Rfam family "Bacterial small subunit ribosomal RNA", at positions 28 to 507 of the family's 1533-position model. The record is from RNAcentral.